GUGGGGAAUUUUGGACAAUGGGCGCAAGCCUGAUCCAGCAAUGCCGCGUGCAGGAAGAAGGCCUUCGGGUUGUAAACUGCUUUUGUACGGAACGAAAAGGCUCUGGUUAAUACCUGGGGCUCAUGACGGUACCGUAAGAAUAAGCACCGGCUAACUACGUGCCAGCAGCCGCGGUAAUACGUAGGGUGCAAGCGUUAAUCGGAAUUACUGGGCGUAAAGCGUGCGCAGGCGGUUUUGUAAGACAGGCGUGAAAUCCCCGGGCUCAACCUGGGAAUGGCGCUUGUGACUGCAAGGCUGGAGUGCGGCAGAGGGGGAUGGAAUUCCGCGUGUAGCAGUGAAAUGCGUAGAUAUGCGGAGGAACACCGAUGGCGAAGGCAAUCCCCUGGGCCUGCACUGACGCUCAUGCACGAAAGCGUGGGGAGCAAACAGGAUUAGAAACCCGAGUAGUCC
RNAcentral lists this ribosomal RNA (450 nucleotides) under uncultured bacterium. RNAcentral's name for it is "partial 16S ribosomal RNA". It matches the Rfam family "Bacterial small subunit ribosomal RNA", at positions 354 to 796 of the family's 1533-position model. The record is from RNAcentral.